CUACCUCGUGCCAUAUACAUUUUGUAAUGCAUUUGGGUUUAUUUCAUUUAUUUUGUUUUAUUUAACUUUUAAUUUGUUUUAUUUUUCACAGCUCUACCAACACAUAGUUUUAAGUGGGGGGAGUACUAUGUAUCCUGGAUUGCCUAGUCGCCUGGAGAAAGAAAUUUUAGACCGUUAUCUUGAAGCUGUUCUGAAGGGAAACAAGGAUGGGUUAAAGAAACUACGGUUGCGGAUAGAGGAUCCACCGCGAAGAAAGCAUAUGGUGUACCUUGGAGGAGCAGUCCUUGCAGGAAUUAUGAAGG
This is a non-coding RNA of Camellia sinensis, 302 nucleotides long. The record is from RefSeq and is a predicted model, not a curated record. Lineage: Eukaryota; Viridiplantae; Streptophyta; Magnoliopsida; Ericales; Theaceae.